AACCUGCGGAAGGAUCAUUAACGUUAGCGCCUCAAAACGCAACGUCUUUUAAUCGAAAAACUUUUGCCGUUAGUGCAAUUUCGAAAGCGAAAACGUAGCACACACGCGCUCUCUUGCGUGUGUGUGUGUUGCGGUCGAGCGCGAGCUUGAGGAUGCGUAAGCCAUCCGUGAGAGACGAGAAGAGAGAGACAUAUGGAGAUGCUGCUUCGGCGCCGGCAGGCGACUCUCGGGUCGUAGCCGUCGUUGCGUGGAUCGUCGCAUCGGGAAUUCGGGCCCCCUCUCUACUCUGCUUGAGAGUUGUUGAGGACGGCAAGGAAACCCCUCGGCUGUAUACGAGCGAUGGACGAUCUUUCAACACGCCAACGAAAGACGCCGUUAGCGCGCUUCUUCUCUCUCUGUAUCAUCUCACGCGAUCGAACGCGAGAAUGUGCGACACGCUAUCUCUCUCAGAGCUCAGCCGCCGACGCGGAUGACUCGCAGUGGCAACCUCGAUGGAACGGUUGAAGCCUACAUGUCCCGUGCGAACGGUGGCGUAGGUCUCUCAAUCCGGAGGUUUUUAAAUGAAUCUUCGCCCGCUAAGACGAGACAUCUCGCGUCGUUUCGACGCAACGCCCGCGUUUACGCGCGGGCCGACGGGCUCCCUCGGAGCCUCGUCACCCCCUGUCUGGUUCGUUGGCCGGGUGCUGCCUUGUUGUGGCCCCGCGUCCAAUCGACUCGUGAACGAACAAAUAUCAAAACACGAUUGCUGACACAAGUCAACAAACGAAUAAUAUUUAAUGAUUACCCUGAACGGUGGAUCACUUGGCUCGUGGG
RNAcentral lists this unclassified non-coding RNA (813 nucleotides) under Neochrysocharis formosa. RNAcentral describes it as "partial contains 18S rRNA, ITS1 and 5.8S rRNA". Lineage: Eukaryota; Metazoa; Arthropoda; Insecta; Hymenoptera; Eulophidae. The record is from RNAcentral.